UACCAGCUCUCCGAGUUGUAGGGAUGAUUAUUGGGCUUAAAGCGUCCGUAGCUGGCUUAGCAAGUCUCCUGUUAAAUUCAGCGACCUAAUCGUUGAGCCGCGGGAGAUACUACUAGGCUAGGAGGCGGGAGAGGUCGACGGUACUUUCGGGGUAGGGGUGAAAUCCUAUAAUCCCGGGAGGACCACCAGUGGCGAAGGCUGUCGACUAGAACGCGCUCGACGGUGAGGGACGAAAGCUGGGGGAGCGAACCGGAUUAGAUACCCGGGUAGUCCCAGCUGUAAACUAUGCGGGCUAAGUGUUGGGGUGGCUACGGGCCACUUCAGUGCCGCAGGAAAGCCAUUAAGCCCGCCGCCUGGGGAGUACGGCCGCAAGGCUGAAACUUAAAGGAAUUGGCGGGGGAGCACCACAAGGCGUGAAGCUUGCGGUUC
Molecule: ribosomal RNA, 429 nt
Filed under: uncultured archaeon
Lineage: Archaea
Description: bacterial SSU rRNA
Rfam family: Archaeal small subunit ribosomal RNA
Source: RNAcentral